This 234-nucleotide ribosomal RNA is filed under the name uncultured bacterium. RNAcentral's name for it is "partial 16S ribosomal RNA". It matches the Rfam family "Bacterial small subunit ribosomal RNA", at positions 96 to 334 of the family's 1533-position model. The record is from RNAcentral.
UGGCGGACGGGGGAGUAAUGUCUGGGAAACUGCCCGAUGGAGGGGGAUAACUACUGGAAACGGUAGCUAAUACCGCAUAACGUCGCAAGACCAAAGAGGGGACCUUCGGGCCUCUUGCCAUCGGAUGUGCCCAGAUGGGAUUAGCUAGUAGGUAAGGUAACGGCUUACCUAGGCGACGAUCCCUAGCUGGUCUGAGAGGAUGAUCAGCCACACUGGGACUGAGACACGGCCCAG